Molecule: ribosomal RNA, 355 nt
Filed under: uncultured eukaryote
Lineage: Eukaryota
Description: SSU rRNA
Rfam family: Eukaryotic small subunit ribosomal RNA
Source: RNAcentral
AGCUCCAAUAGCGUAUAUUAAAACUGUUGCGGUUAAAACGCUCGUAGUUGGAUAUUUGUUGGAGAGCAUUGGUCUACCCCAGUGGUAAGUACUUGAUGUUCCUUCGACAUCUUACUGGAGAAAGGGUAUGCUCUUCACUGAGCGUGCCCAUGAACCAGAACUUUUACUUUGAGGAAAUGAGAGUGUUUCAAGCAGGCUAUUGCCGUGAAUACGUUAGCAUGGAAUAAUAACAUGGGACUUCGUGUCGUUGUUGUUGGUUAACGACAUGGAGUAACAAAAAUAGGGACAGUUGGGGGCAUUCGUAUUACAAUGUCAGAGGUGAAAUUCUUGGAUUAUUGUACGACGGACUACUGCG